Non-coding RNA from Caenorhabditis elegans, 88 nucleotides. The record is from Ensembl. NCBI's taxonomy places the organism in Eukaryota, Metazoa, Nematoda, Chromadorea, Rhabditida, Rhabditidae.
CCCUCUUAUCAACACAGUUCUGUACAGCGUGCUCUCUUGUCUCUGGCAUCUAGAGUACUACAGUGACUCAGACUCAGUGGGGGCCAGU